CUGACCUGUUCUCUCGUUAACACGCCAUUUAAACUGGUGAAUCAAUAUAUACGGACAGCACACCAAUGGAUAUACAGUCACAUGUUCAUGUUCAAGCUGGGGAGAAGAAGAAUUCAGAGACGGGAAUACGCUCCAAUCCACAGACAGCAAUGUCUGGUGAAAACGACGACCCAGACAAAUCCGUGUUGAAAAGCUAUGAACGACGUAAAAAAGAAGAAAAAGACGGAAUUCCUGUAUUGUAAAAUCUUGAGAAUGCUCUUGGUGUAACACUGCGUCGAGAUCAUGACUUUCCUGAACAUUACUUAUUUUGUAUUUGUAUAACAUGUUGCAGAGUAAAGCUUAUAAACUCACCACUAUGUAUGUGAAAAGCUAUGAACGACGUAAAAAGAAGAAAAAGACGGAAUUCCUGUAUUGUAAAAUCUUGAGAAUGCUCAUGGUGUAACACUGUGUCGAGAUCUGACUUUCCUGAACAUUACUUAGUUUGUGUUUGUAUAAAAUGUUGCAGAGUAAAGCUUAUAAACUCACCA
Molecule: long non-coding RNA, 527 nt
Organism: Saccoglossus kowalevskii
Lineage: Eukaryota; Metazoa; Hemichordata; Enteropneusta; Harrimaniidae
Source: RefSeq, a predicted model, not a curated record